GACGAACGCUGGCGGCGUGCUUAACACAUGCAAGUCGAACGGAAAGGCCCUGCUUUUGUGGGGUGCUCGAGUGGCGAACGGGUGAGUAACACGUGAGUAACCUGCCCUUGACUUUGGGAUAACUUCAGGAAACUGGGGCUAAUACCGGAUAGGAGCUCCUGCUGCAUGGUGGGGUUGGGAAGGUUUCGGCGGUUGGGGAGGGACUCGCGGCUUAUCAGCUUGUGGGUGGGGUAGUGGCUUACCAAGGCUUUGACGGGUAGCCGGCCUGAGAGGGUGACCGGCCACAUUGGGACUGAGAUACGGCCCAGACUCCUACGGGAGGCAGCAGUGGGGAAUAUUGCACAAUGGGCGGAAGCCUGAUGCAGCAACGCCGCGUGCGGGAUGACGGCCUUCGGGUUGUAAACCGCUUUCGCCUGUGACGAAGCGUGAGUGACGGUAAUGGGUAAAGAAGCACCGGCGAACUACG
RNAcentral lists this ribosomal RNA (466 nucleotides) under uncultured bacterium. Its description in RNAcentral is "partial 16S ribosomal RNA". It matches the Rfam family "Bacterial small subunit ribosomal RNA", at positions 28 to 505 of the family's 1533-position model. The record is from RNAcentral.